GACGAACGCUUGCAGCGUGCUUAACACAUGCAAGUCGAACGGAAAGGCCCUGCUUUUGUGGGGUGCUCGAGUGGCGAACGGGUGAGUAACACGUGAGUAACCUGCCCUUGACUUUGGGAUAACUUCAGGAAACUGGGGCUAAUACCGGAUAGGAGCUCCUGCUGCAUGGUGGGGGUUGGAAAGUUUCGGCGGUUGGGGAUGGACUCGCGGCUUAUCAGCUUGUUGGUGGGGUAGUGGCUUACCAAGGCUUUGACGGGUAGCCGGCCUGAGAGGGUGACCGGCCACAUUGGGACUGAGAUACGGCCCAGACUCCUACGGGAGGCAGCAGUGGGGAAUAUUGCACAAUGGGCGGAAGCCUGAUGCAGCAACGCCGCGUGCGGGAUGACGGCCUUCGGGUUGUAAACCGCUUUCGCCUGUGACGAAGCGUGAGUGACGGUAAUGGGUAAAGAAGCACCGGCUAACUACGUGCCAGCAGCCGCGGUGAUACGUAGGGUGCGAGCGUUGUCCGGAUUUAUUGGGCGUAAAGGGCUCGUAGGUGGUUGAUCGCGUCGGAAGUGUAAUCUUGGGGCUUAACCCUGAGCGUGCUUUCGAUACGGGUUGACUUGAGGAAGGUAGGGGAGAAUGGAAUUCCUGGUGGAGCGGUGGAAUGCGCAGAUAUCAGGAGGAACACCAGUGGCGAAGGCGGUUCUCUGGGUCUUUCCUGACGCUGAGGAGCGAAAGCGUGGGGAGCGAACAGGCUUAGAUACCCUGGUAGUCCACGCUGUAAACGGUGGGUACUAGGUGUGGGGUCCAUUCCACGGGUUCCGUGCCGUAGCUAACGCUUUAAGUACCCCGCCUGGGGAGUACGGCCGCAAGGCUAAAACUCAAAGGAAUUGACGGGGCCCCGCACAAGCGGCGGAGCAUGCGGAUUAAUUCGAUGCAACGCGUAGAACCUUACCUGGGUUUGACAUGGAUCGGGAGUGCUCAGAGAUGGGUGUGCCUCUUUUGGGGUCGGUUCACAGGUGGUGCAUGGCUGUCGUCAGCUCGUGUCGUGAGAUGUUGGGUUAAGUCCCGCAACGAGCGCAACCCUUGUUCACUGUUGCCAGCACGUUAUGGUGGGGACUCAGUGGAGACCGCCGGGGUCAACUCGGAGGAAGGUGGGGAUGACGUCAAGUCAUCAUGCCCCUUAUGUCCAGGGCUUCACGCAUGCUACAAUGGCUGGUACAGAGAGUGGCGAGCCUGUGAGGGUGAGCGAAUCUCGGAAAGCCGGUCUCAGUUCGGGUUGGGGUCUGCAACUCGACCUCAUGAAGUCGGAGUCGCUAGUAAUCGCAGAUCAGCAACGCUGCGGUGAAUACGUUCCCGGGGCU
This 1346-nucleotide ribosomal RNA is filed under the name uncultured bacterium. RNAcentral describes it as "partial 16S ribosomal RNA". It matches the Rfam family "Bacterial small subunit ribosomal RNA", at positions 28 to 1381 of the family's 1533-position model. The record is from RNAcentral.